This is a long non-coding RNA of Lytechinus pictus (painted urchin), 1716 nucleotides long. RefSeq lists it as uncharacterized. The transcript is spliced from 3 exons. The record is from RefSeq and is a predicted model, not a curated record. Lineage: Eukaryota; Metazoa; Echinodermata; Echinoidea; Temnopleuroida; Toxopneustidae.
GUUGUUUCUUGGGUCAGGUUCAGAGCGAGUUGGUAGUGGCACGAGGAGGGGUCUGGAAGACGACCGCCUCGAUAGCCCCGCUGAUUCAGGAAGAGGAGGUAGCGGAACCAGCAGUCGACAGAAUAGCGGACGGUCAAGCGCUCGUCGUAGCAGUGGGAGGAUGAGGGCAGCAUUACCUGAAUCGAGCGGCGUAUAUCAAGUAGAGGAACAGAAUGUUGAUGCCUCCUACAUCGAUCCCUUAGGCCCAUCAGCGGAGAGGCCCAAGACAGCAGCGAGGAAAAGAGACGCUGAGGAUGAGUUUGGUGAUGAGGAGCUCGGUGAUGACCUUCUCCCAGAAUAAAUAUGAAGUCUAGUGUUCAGAGGAAUAUAUGCAUCAUGAGAAUGCCUGGGGUGAUUCACAGACAGCUAAAAUCAAUUUUAAGUUCAAUGAAAUUGAUUUUAUGACUUUUGAUUGGACUAAGACUAAAGCUUCAAGAACUGAUUUUAGCUGAUAGUAAAGCUCCCCCUAGUGUAAUGAAACAUCUGUACAUUCAAUAUAGGAUAUAUUUUACAGAAUAAAAUAAUUUAAUAAACUCACACAAUCAAUUGAGUUAAUGAUUCCAUGGUGUGGAAAAAUAUAUAUCAUUCAAAUUCAGAACUCCAUUGAGAUUUUAUCCUGUGAUAUAUUUAUAAGUAUUUAGUAUUGAUUUAGAUUUUGAUGCUUAUUAUUUUUUCUGUGAAUGUGCUCUAAAUGUGAUACCUCUUGUUUAAGUGUUUGUCAGCACUAAAAUGAUAAAGUCACUAUGUCACCUUGAUAAUUACAUAGUACAUGUACAAGUAAAGUACACUCAAUUCCGUCUAGUCAUAGAUUGCCAUUUUAUUUAUUUAGUUCAGUCUUAAUCACAAUCAAUACAAUGGACAAUGUUUGUUAUGAAAUGUGUAGACAUGAGUACUUUAAGUUCACAAUGCAUGUUUAACAUAUGAUCAUAUGAACUGAUAUAGGGUAAAAAACUGUUUCACGUUGCAACAGUUCUGCAGCAAUUACAAGUCUUAUAUCAAAUUAUCAACUGUUUUGUAAGUUUCUCGGUAAAUGACCUACCUUCUCUUCACAAAAGGGAUAUGAAAUGCCUUUUAUUUUGAUACAUUUGAUGCAGAAGGGGGGGGGGGGUCAGCUUUGGCUCUAUGUAAGUUUUUCACGUAAAUUGAAUUGAUUUAUGAUGUAUAUUCCAUAAUUUGGAAUAGUUACGGUAUAAAUUAUUUUCAACUGUCUGCAUUACAGACAGGAACUAUGAACUAUUAGCAAAUGAAAUUCUUUAUAUCAAUAUUGGGACAUGGGCUUGCAAAGUUAUUCAUGAAUUUAUAAGUGAAUUAAUUAAUCAAAAGCAAUAUGGGGUGAAGAUACACGUGUGAGCAAGGUGAAAGUAUGCAGAUGUAGAUCUUAUUGAAAGAAUACUUUGUGCCCAAUUUUCAUGGAAAGUUUGGAAAAUGCAAUAUUGUUUACAUACCAGGAAAUCUGAAAUCUUUGACUUUCUUAUUAGUAAAAAGCUGUGUAUUCAUAUCCAAAUUUACUAACUUGACUCUCCCUUUAUCGUAAUGGACAAAAUAAUUUAAGGAUUUUGAUGUGUUUGUGUGAUGUAUAGCUAGAAGAGAUAUAUCUUGAUGAAAUCCUGCUUUGUGAUUUUAAAUAUGUAUAAAAGAGAUGUGAAAAUUAAAUAUUAUUACCAAGCAUACAUAAAA